UCUUUGUUUACAGAUUCCGACGUAAGCAGAUGCUGCAGAUCUAUAAUACAAAACUAAAACAAUGUAAAAGAAACAAGAACAAGUUCUAUGUUGAUAUAAAUUGAACGAUUCCAUUAUAUGUAUAUAAUAGGGUAACUUGUAGGCAAUACUGCUGGAACUGGAGCUCGCCUGUCAAUCAAAACGUAAAAUAAUUCACCGUAAAAUUACCAAGUUAACUCAAACAAAUGAUUGAUCCUAAAACAAUAUUAAGAAAUAUAUAAAUUCUGCAUCUACGAGACAAUAAUCACGACAAACUAAGCAUUAUUCUCAAUAAAAUUGAAAUAGGAGUUGGAGAAAAAUGUUACCGGGCAUUAUUUUGAUGCGACGAAUGGGCACGAUCUCUGUGUGAAAUGGGUGCUCCACCACCCUUCCUAUUAAGGCUCCGCUGCGGCGGCUGUUGAAUAACCCUCUCCAGCAAGACGUUGUCCCCCGAUAUUGAUGAAAGAGAUGGCCGCCAAUCAAUAACCCCAAAACGCCUCUCCUUGGCGGCCCUUCCUCACUUCCGCCCUACGCGGGGCCGAGCUUCUGGCGCCACCAGCAAUCUCCUUCUCCGGCGGCUGCUGCUGAGCCCCUGACCCACUAUAGCAAGAACCAUAACACAAGAAGAACUUCAUAAUUAUACACAAAACACCCAAUAGCAACAAAGAUUAGGAACAACCUAUGAGUAAUUAUAUUAUCUACGAAAAAUAGUGAUUAGUGUUAACCAUUUGAUUUAUCUUUUCUGCUUUUGUGCGUGUUUCAUCUGUG
Molecule: long non-coding RNA, 786 nt
Filed under: Olea europaea (common olive)
Lineage: Eukaryota; Viridiplantae; Streptophyta; Magnoliopsida; Lamiales; Oleaceae
Description: long non-coding RNA (OEUR_LNC002034)
Source: RNAcentral